This 107-nucleotide transfer RNA is filed under the name Verrucomicrobiota bacterium. RNAcentral describes it as "Verrucomicrobia bacterium tRNA-Phe". It matches the Rfam family "tRNA". Rfam says of the family: Transfer RNA (tRNA) molecules are approximately 80 nucleotides in length. Their secondary structure includes four short double-helical elements and three loops (D, anti-codon, and T loops). The record is from RNAcentral. Lineage: Bacteria; Pseudomonadati; Verrucomicrobiota.
GGCUGGGUAGCUCAGUCGGUAGAGCAGAGGACUGAAAAUCCUUGUGUCGCCGGUUCAAUUCCGGCAAAAUCCUUGUGUCGCCGGUUCAAUUCCGGCCCCAGCCACCA